UCCGAGUGCAAAAUAGCUCAAUUGGUAGGGCUUGAAACUCUGAAUCUCAGGGUUAUGGGUUUGAGCCCCACAUCCGGCA
This is a non-coding RNA of Podarcis lilfordi (Lilford's wall lizard), 79 nucleotides long. Lineage: Eukaryota; Metazoa; Chordata; Lepidosauria; Squamata; Lacertidae. The record is from the annotation of a GenBank genome assembly.